Panicum virgatum (switchgrass) is the source of this 1001-nucleotide long non-coding RNA. RefSeq lists it as uncharacterized. Lineage: Eukaryota; Viridiplantae; Streptophyta; Magnoliopsida; Poales; Poaceae. The record is from RefSeq and is a predicted model, not a curated record. The transcript is spliced from 8 exons.
CACACGUACUCAUGUCGUGGCCGUGACACUCACCUCCGCCGGCCGCGCCACCGUCGCAUCCGCCCCGCUCCGCCGUCCGCGACGCGCCUCCCCGCUGGCCCUCUCGCCCUGCUGGGCCACCCACGGCCGGCCUCCCUCACCGCGCCUCCCUCGCCUCCGCCCGCUCCGCCGUCCCCGACGCGCCUCCCCUCCGCUCUCCGACGCACACUCCUCAUCUCCGCCUCAACCGCACUGGGAGGCGCCCGUUCUCGGUGGUCCGCGCGGCUGAGACUGACGCUAAAGACGCCAAGCCCAAGGCACCGGAGAAGGCGCCGGCGGCGGGCGGGUCCAGCUUCAACCAGCUGCUCGGCAUCAAGGGCGCCAAGCAGGAGACCGACAUUUGGAAGAUACGUCUUCAACUUACUAAACCAGUGACAUGGCAUCCGCUUGUCUGGGGAGUUCUCUGUGGAGCAGCUGCCUCUGGUCCAUCCUUUUUUCUGAACCAUCCACUAACUUUGGUACAAGGGCAAUCAAAUCUUGCUGGAGCUCUUUUGGAGCUUUCUUUAGGACAAGUGCAAUCUUCUGGAUAUGGGUUAAAAUUCCAGAAGUUCUAGUUCGAGAUCGGGUUCGGAGCUCAUUUUCUAUCGGAGCUCGUGCAGUAGCCUGUCGCUCUUCUAUUCACCUCUGCACAAGAGGGAUUAUUCUCCUAUCUCCUUUGCGACUGUGCGUGCUUCAGCGCCUGCUCGGCCACCAGGUCGCCGCGCCCGCCGCGUGCUCGAGCAAAAGCCUCCGGCGCCGUCCAGCCGCCCUGUGCCCGGCCGCACAAACAGUUCCUUUUUUCUUUUAUUUAGUCUUUUCGCUUCUGGGGUCUUAAUUAUUUCUGUGUUCAUGAGUUAAGUAACUUCUAUAUUGUGAGCUGAGUAUAGUGAUUCGCUUUAUCCUUAUUAUCCACUGCUAAAAUUGUCAUUGUUGCUAACUGCGUCCACUCAAGAAUCACAAGGCCUGGCUUGUUGAUAAUUUAA